AGAAGAGGGCGAAAAGGGGAAAACAAGUUUUUAGCCGGGGUCUUCCAGCAGGAUCGGGGCAGCGGGUGGGAGUCUCGAGGCAGUGAGGGGGGGCGGGGCGUGGAGAGGAAAGGGCGGAGUCUGGGUAUUUGGACCGUGAUUGUAAAGAAGCUGUUCCAACCCCGUCGGGGGGCGGCGUUUGCAGAGAGGGAAGUAGCGUGAGGCAGGUUGGGGAAGGCGUGAAAGGCCUAGGAGCACCGAGGGGCGGUGGAGGGGUGUGGCCUGGAAUGUUAGGCGGAGCGGGAGGUGGGCCGGGCUUUCGGACGCCCUGUCCCGCAGACGUUGACGAGUGCAGCGAGGAGGACCUUUGCCAGAGCGGCAUCUGUACCAACACCGACGGCUCCUUCGAGUGCGUCUGUCCUCCGGGACACCGCGCCGGCCCGGACCUCGCCUCCUGCCUCGACGUGGACGAAUGUCGCGAGCGAGGCCCAGCCCUGUGCGGGUCGCAGCGCUGUGAGAACUCUCCCGGGUCCUACCGCUGUGUGCGGGACUGCGAUCCUGGGUACCACGCGGGCCCCGAGGGCACUUGUGACGAUGUGAAUGAGUGUGAAACACUACAGGGUGUAUGUGGAGCUGCCCUGUGUGAAAAUGUAGAAGGCUCCUUCCUCUGUGUCUGCCCCAACAGCCCGGAGGAGUUUGACCCCAUGACUGGACGCUGUGUUCCCCCACGAACUUCUGCUGGCACGUUCCCAGGCUCGCAGCCCCAGGCACCUGCCAGCCCCGUUCUGCCGGCCAGGCCACCUCCGCCACCCCCGCCCCGCCGACCCAGCACAUCUAGGCAGGGCCCUGUGGGGAGCGGGCGCCGGGAGUGCUACUUUGACACAGCGGCCCCAGAUGCAUGUGACAACAUCCUGGCUCGGAAUGUGACGUGGCAGGAGUGCUGCUGUACUGUGGGUGAGGGCUGGGGCAGCAGCUGCCGCAUCCAGCAGUGCCCGGGCACUGAGACAGCUGAGUACCAGUCAUUGUGCCCUCACGGCCGGGGCUACCUGGCGCCCAGCGGAGACCUGAGCCUCCGGAGAGACGUGGACGAAUGUCAGCUCUUCCGAGACCAGGUGUGCAAGAAUGGCGUGUGCGUGAACACGGCCCCGGGCUACUCGUGCUAUUGCAGCAACGGCUACUACUACCACACACAGCGGCUGGAGUGCAUCGAUAAUGACGAGUGCGCCGAUGAGGAGCCGGCCUGUGAGGGCGGCCGCUGUGUCAACACUGUGGGCUCUUAUCACUGCACCUGCGAGCCCCCACUGGUGCUGGAUGGCUCGCAGCGCCGCUGCGUCUCCAACGAGAGCCAGAGCCUCGAUGACAAUAUGGGAGUGUGCUGGCAGGAAGUGGGGGCUGACCUCGUGUGCAGCCACCCUCGGCUGGACCGUCAGGCCACCUACACAGAGUGCUGCUGCCUGUAUGGAGAGGCCUGGGGCAUGGACUGCGCCCUCUGCCCUGCCCAGGACUCAGAUGACUUCGAGGCCCUGUGCAAUGUGCUACGUCCCCCUGCAUAUAGCCCACCGCGACCAGGUGGCUUUGGACUCCCCUACGAGUACGGCCCAGACUUAGGUCCACCUUACCAGGGCCUCCCGUAUGGGCCUGAGUUGUACCCACCACCCGCGCUACCCUACGACCCCUACCCACCGCCACCUGGGCCCUUCGCCCGCCGGGAGGCUCCUUAUGGGGCACCCCGCUUCGACAUGCCAGACUUUGAGGACGAUGGUGGCCCCUAUGGUGAAUCUGAGGCUCCUGCGCCACCUGGCCCGGGCACCCGCUGGCCCUAUAGGUCCCGGGACACCCGCCGCUCCUUCCCAGAGCCGGAGGAGCCUCCUGAAGGUGGAAGCUAUGCUGGUUCCCUGGCUGAGCCCUAUGAGGAGCUGGAGGCGGAGGAGUGCGGGAUCCUGGACGGCUGCACCAACGGCCGCUGCGUGCGCGUCCCCGAAGGCUUCACCUGCCGUUGCUUCGACGGCUACCGCCUGGACAUGACCCGCAUGGCCUGCGUUGACAUCAACGAGUGUGAUGAGGCCGAGGCUGCCUCCCCGCUGUGCGUCAACGCGCGCUGUCUCAACACGGAUGGCUCCUUCCGCUGCAUCUGCCGCCCAGGAUUCGCACCCACGCACCAGCCGCACCACUGUGCGCCCGCACGGCCCCGGGCCUGAGCCCUGGCACCCGCUGGCCGCCCACCCGCGCCUGCCACUCGGGGCCCCUGCCGCGCAUCCUGCAGCCCGCUUAUGCGUAUGUGCACGGGGCUGCCCGCCUGGACCUGGAGAAGGGACCUACGGACGCCUGGAAGCCGCGACGCCCUGCACUGCCCCCGCCUCCCCAAGCGCCUCCCACUGAUGUCGUGGUCCCAGGCCUGGCACAGGGGCCCCUUCACAUGCCCUCUCCCUUUUAUAAAAUUUUCCAUUAAAAACCACCUAUUUUGU
This 2444-nucleotide small RNA is filed under the name Pongo abelii (Sumatran orangutan). RNAcentral describes it as "retained intron". The record is from RNAcentral. Lineage: Eukaryota; Metazoa; Chordata; Mammalia; Primates; Hominidae.